GAUGAACGCUGGCGGCGUGCCUAAUACAUGCAAGUCGAGCGAACAGACGAGGAGCUUGCUCCUUUGACGUUAGCGGCGGACGGGUGAGUAACACGUAGGUAACCUACCUAUAAGACUGGGAUAACUUCGGGAAACCGGAGCUAAUACCGGAUAAUAUUUCGAACCGCAUGGUUCGAUAGUGAAAGAUGGCUUUGCUAUCACUUAUAGAUGGAUCUGCGCCGUAUUAGCUGGUUGGUAAGGUAACGGCUUACCAAGGCAACGAUGCGUAGCCGACCUGAGAGGGUGAUCGGCCACACUGGAACUGAGACACGGUCCAGACUCCUACGGGAGGCAGCAGUAGGGAAUCGUCCGCAAUGGGCGAAAGCCUGACGGAUCAACGCCGCGUGAGUGAUGAAGGUCUUCGGAUCGUAAAACUCUGUUAUUAGGGAAGAACAAACGUGUAAGUAACUGUGCACGGCUUGACGGUACCUAAUCAGAAAGCCACGGCUAACUACGUG
Molecule: ribosomal RNA, 497 nt
Filed under: uncultured bacterium
Lineage: Bacteria
Description: partial 16S ribosomal RNA
Rfam family: Bacterial small subunit ribosomal RNA
Source: RNAcentral